RNA transcript from Pelmatolapia mariae (spotted tilapia), 1176 nucleotides. It is a transcript of the gene named PTTG1 interacting protein b, with no coding region annotated. The record is from RefSeq and is a predicted model, not a curated record. The transcript has 8 exons. Lineage: Eukaryota; Metazoa; Chordata; Actinopteri; Cichliformes; Cichlidae.
UAAACCAGGGGUUCAGCUUCACUCCUCUCGAGCCUUUCUGUUUUUUCCAUGCAGUCCAGCACUCGUGUCACCAUGUACAGCCCGUCCGCCUUUGUUUUUGUCCUAAUUUCCUGCGGUAUUUGUAUUAUUACAGUUACAGCGCAAACACCGACUCCUGCUCCAGCGGACACUCCCUGUGCCGUGAAAUCCAACACCACUUGUGAUGAAUGCUUGCAGAAUGUGACAUGCCUGUGGUGCAUAACGACCAAAAAAUGCAUCGAAUACCCGGUGAAGAGCAUCCUGCCCUCCAACAGCGUUUGUCCACUGAAUGAUGCACGUUGGGGGCUAUGCUGGCUCAACUUCCAGAUAUUGAUCAUCACCGCGUCGGUGCUGGCUGGUAUCAUCAUCAUCGCUGUUCUUGUUUGCUGCUUCUGCUGCUGCAAGUGUGAAAAACUUGGGAGAAAGAGAGAAGACAUGCAGAUGGAGCGACAAACUCGGCUGAGGAAAGACCGCCAGAAAGCGAGGCCAGCAACUGUCUUGUGAUGUUGGGCAUGCCCAGGACAUCUCUACCUUCUUCUCAGGCUCUCUUCUUCCACGGUCCAUCGCUCUAUCUGUUGCUGCAGGAGGUCAGAAAUGCAGAUGAGGCACGAUGAAAUCAGGCACAAAUACGGUUUGUCGAAGGAUAACCCAUACGCCCGUAUGGAUGAUCAUUAAGGAGAAGCAGCCGUUCGUUAAGUUGAUCCUAUUGAAGCCAGUAACACGGAGAUACAGCGUACAAGGAGCUCAUGAUAAACUGUGACUGUCUGAUUGAUUUCAGCGCGACAGUGUUUUCAGAAUACUCCUAGCCUGAUGCUGCACUGUUUUGCUUGAUUAAUAUUUCUUAUGCAUUAAUUUCAAUUUAAUUUGAAAAAGCAAGCAUCCCCAGUUUAGUUUGUAAAAGUCCAAAGCUGACGAGUGCUGUGGUGCUUCUUCUGUAACAAGCAGUUUCACUUUCAUACUACAUUUACAAUAUACUCGAUUUGACUCAUCCAUGUCUGCAGCUCAACACUUCUUUUUCUUUAAAUAGUUCAUGUAACAUAUUUGUCCUUUUCUCCAUUUUUAUUGCAUUCCGGAAUUAUUUUCGUUUUUUAUUGAACAAAAGAAAAUGCGUGUUUUUGAACUGCAUCUGAAUCAUCUGCCAAUAAAAAAAUAAAUUAA